AAGACCCCAAUGCGUCGCGGAUGCGGCGU
This 29-nucleotide ribosomal RNA is filed under the name Ziziphus mauritiana (Indian jujube). RNAcentral describes it as "partial 28S ribosomal RNA". Lineage: Eukaryota; Viridiplantae; Streptophyta; Magnoliopsida; Rosales; Rhamnaceae. The record is from RNAcentral.